RNAcentral lists this unclassified non-coding RNA (200 nucleotides) under soil metagenome. RNAcentral's name for it is "partial contains internal transcribed spacer 2 and large subunit ribosomal RNA". The record is from RNAcentral.
UAUAACAAGUCGGGUCCUUGGGUCUGCUUGCGGUUUGUUACAAACACAAGCUUACCUUAAAUGAAUUAGCUGGACUUCAGCAGAGUUGUUAAGUAACAUUUUGAACUCUCGUAAUAUGAAGUCUGCUUUCUAACCUAUCUCUUUCGAGAUAAUUUUUCUAUUUUGGCCUCAAAUCAGGUAGGACUACCCGCUGAACUUAA